This 449-nucleotide small RNA is filed under the name Arabidopsis thaliana (thale cress). RNAcentral describes it as "ATSL181540". The record is from RNAcentral. Lineage: Eukaryota; Viridiplantae; Streptophyta; Magnoliopsida; Brassicales; Brassicaceae.
UUUCUAUACAUAUAUAACCAUGCCAUAUGUUGAGUAACUAGGAUUUAACCCGCGGAUUACCGCGGACAAUCGGUUUAUUUGGUUCUUAUACUAAAUAUUUGAAUAAAUAUGAUAUUUUAAACAUAUAAAUAUAAAUUUCUAGUGAUUAGUGAAAAAUCGUAAUAUAUAAUUUGGAUAUUAUUGAUUAUUGAUUUUGUGAUUGAAUAUAGUGUUUUUAAGGAUGGAAUGUGAUUAUAUUUUGAUUUAAAAAAUGACAUAGAUUCUUUAUUUUUGUUGAACGAUUUAGAUUAAAGGGAAUUAAUUUUAUUGAACGGUUUAGAUUGAAUCGGAUUAUAUAAAGUUUAGGAGAUUGUUAAGACCAAAUUACCCUUAAUGAUUUUGAAUAGCAAAGAACAAAAUUCAAAAUUGAAAUAAAAAUUGAGGCUAAAUUAGACAAAAUUUUAAUUUAU